UGCGCGUGCGUUACUAGUGUCCCUAAUGGAUCCCUUCCAUAUGAAAAGUAAAGCAGUUAGCUGUCAAGCUCGGCAAAUCAAAGGCAUGUCACACGUGAAACUUAGUGAAAUACACAAAAGCGUGUCUAGCAUUACAUUUUAAAUAAAGUAAUAUUUAAAUAAUAUCAGAUAUGAGAGACUAGGUGUAAACUUGAAAGGGGUUCUUCUGCCUUUAUGCUCGGGAGGGUGGGAAAACACAGCGACGCAAAGGAGCAAACAUGGAAGUAAAGCAACAAUGAGAGACGCACGUUGUCAGACAGGUGGAACGCGUUCCCUUCCCUCCUCCUCCCCAAGACUCCUCGCAAAUGGUGUAAAAUAGAAGAAAGACGCAUAACCCGGUUCACGUCUGUUUGUUUUCUACUGAGCAAAGUGACAAGAUCAUAAAAAAAUAAAAGGAUCCUCCUUUGCUUUCUGCCCCAGUAACAUCUCUUAUUUUGAAAUGCACUUUCUGAGUGCCGAGAACCUGUGUGGCAGUACCUGAACCUGCAUGGACUAACCACAGUGAAGUAUUCAUGAGCACACACCGAGAAUAACGGAGCACAAAGUCACCUUCAUCCAGCGGCUCUGGAACUGUGGGCUGUGAUGAUGAGAAGGAGCCCUCUGAAUCUAAAGAUCACAGAACCUGAGGAACGUUUUAAUGGCUGCUGAAAUGAGCAUCUCUUCAGGCAACAGCGCAACUUUUCUCCCACUCAGAAAGUUUCCUGAAGCAUUACGCGCAGCCCACCCAGUACGGCUUCGCUGUUGCCUACUCUGCUUUGCUUCGUGCGGGGUCCUCCCACCUCUGCCUACAUCCCAACAUCCCAAUGAGACAGUAGAAGCCAAAAACAUGGCCGACCAUGACGACGCACCAUUUCUACAGGGGUUCCACUGUAAAGUUUCUGCUGCGGCGACCUUUUGACUUGAGCACAGUGAGUUUUUAAUAAACUGUAACUCAUCUUUGCCAUAAAUUAGUGGUGGCUUCUGAAGACAACGUAGGUGUAAACAACAAGAUUCUAAUAAUGAUGAAAAUAGUAGAACAUACUGCCCACAGGAGAGAGGCUUUCUCAUUCUUCCCACUCAGCAUGUGUGUGUUUACUUGUUUCCCCUUCUUGGCAAUUACACAAAACAUUCUCAGCGAGCAAACAUCUACAAAUGUGUGCAUUUUAUUAGCUUAUUUUUGUUUCUUCAAAUUUUGGAGCAGGCCAACUAAAACACUAACACGUACUGUAUUUGUAGGAUUACGAUUUAGUUGCUUUUACUUUUUAAAAAUGUAGCAUGUUCAAACAACUUAACUCAAAUGGCUUUAAACAACACAAAUUUGCUUUUGAAUUAGUUAUUUGUCAUUGUCCGUGUAAAAAAAACAGCAUUAAAGCUUUUAUGCUUAUCAUAAUUCACAAAACAGUCUCUGUUUGUGAAGUUUGUGCCAUCAAACAGUAGAUGUAGAAAGUCCUGAACAGGCAAAUAUUCAGUGGAGGAAAGAACAUUUUUUAGAAGCAUAUUCGUUCUCAUAUCGCCUGUUUCCUUCGAAAUAGCAGUGAAAAUAUAAUUUUAGUUCCUCUUUGCUGUUGGCAAUGUGAGCCUGUUGAACUAGUAAAGGAUUUAAUGGCAGCUGUACAGUGCCGCUACUCAAAAGAGCCCAUCUGUGUGGCAUAUUCAUCGCACACAUAUUAGUCUUAUAUCAGUUACAUCCAGCUUUGCUUUUGUUUGUUCUUUGUGGCUCUUGAAUGAAUAAAAACCUUGAUUCCUUAUCUUGACCUAUCAGGCUAAAUAGCUUUUAGAACAGUAUUAAAUUAAUUAACGUCUUCACAGAUGUCUCAGAUAGUACAGUCUAGAUAUCUGACAGAUCCAUAAUAGCAACAUAAGCCUUGAUGGAGGUUUAUUCCUCCAUCUUCCUGCUUUUUGGCUGAUUAAUGUUUUACACAUGCCUCAACCUUCUAUCUUGAGUGAUCCUGCCCUUACUUCCUGUUUUGGGAUUCCAGCUUCCUGUUUUCAUCACAGAUUAUCGUCUCACUGCAUUUCUUCUCUCUGAUUGGUUCCCUCUCGUUAUUUGCACCUGUGGCUUUGCUACCUGUUACAUUUGAACUGCACUGCUUCUGCAUUGCCUCCCAGCUGUUUGCUCUUGAUGGCUUGAAAUCCCAAACUGUCCAAAGAGGAAACCAGGCACACAGUCCAUUUACAUAACUCUUUGAUCGAUUGAGAGUCUACAGACCUUCUGUAUAGGUGCGGCGUUGCUCUUUCCCUGGUCCUGAACAGCGCCGCGGGUUCGGGUUCUGGUACGUGUCCACUGCAUUACCUUCAGCGGUCCCGCCGGAGGAUGUGGAACCGGCGUGAGCUGUGCAGAGCCGCAUCAAAACCUCGGCUUCUGCUGAGUGUCGCUGGUCAUCACGAACAACAAGGCAAACGCUGGGUUCAAAGAGUUGAGAAACAAAGCGGAACAGAAGGAACGAGAAUACACAAAACCAAAGUAACAUACGACAAAAAACCCAGACGACGUGUGAGUGGAGCAGGACUAACGAGCCUUUCUAGCUCUGGAAGGGCCGGCUCGCCCCGAGACCCCCCGGCGCCGCCGCGGCCACCUGCCUGUCAUGAACGGGCCCUUUGUGAUUGACGCGGCCACCUCAUCUGGCUUCCCCUCACGCCCCGCGCACGCCGUGGCCAAAGGAACCGGCGAGCCCGUCUGCGAUGAGAGCCGAUCAUAACGCCGGGCUUUAAGGCGCUCCCGGGGAGCGCUCCUCGAGUUUCGGCAGGAGCUGGAAAUGGCCUCAAUUAAAUUUGUUCCCCGCGGCGAAUCUCGACCCCCGGCGUCGCAGACUCACGGCUCUCCUUUAAAACACGCGACAUACACGAGUGCGGUCUAGUUGUUCUUCACCUUCUUUCUCACCUCUUUCUCUCUCAGUUGCAUGACUCAUGAUACAUACGCUUUCCAAAACCACUAAAUCAAUCGAACCAGUUGACAUCAAAUAAUGAUGGUGAUUAUAUAUUUACCAUGAGACAGUGGUUUUCCUCAAACCUGAUAUUGUGCAUUUGAUCUUAGCGGCUGUGCAUUUAACCUGGAUGGACUCGGUGAUACAUUACUGUGGUCCUUGUACUGUAUUCAGUAUUUCUGUGGCAGGCCGGUGCCGCUGCCUUGUUGUGUUGCUUUAUUUUUGGACGGAAAGCAAAGGCUUUAAGUGCAGCUGCAGGCUAGCCUGUUGGCAGCUGUAUGCUAAUGGCUCGCCUUGUUUGUGUCUUUGAAAUCAAAGCAAGUCUUAUUCUGGUCAGUGCUGGCCUCCAGGCUGUCAGUUUCAGGAAUGCAGAGGGAAAAAAAAUGAACACAUGAAGCUAAUCUAAUUAUUGGCAUUGGCAAAAUGGAGAGGUUUGAUAAUAGGACAGAGAAAACGAUGGGCCAGAUUCUGCAAAGAUGCUAAAAGCUAAAAGAUGCCUUAUAUAUAUUUUAAACUUUUUUUUGGAUCAAAAAGUCAAAAGUACUUUGUGUGACUUUUAUAUGGUUGAAAAGAGAACUGGAGAAAACCUCAAACACAAAAAUGAAGGUAAAACUGCACGACUGCUGCAGAUGAAGUGAUAAUCACUGCACUUUCCUCUAAUCACUUCAGGUCUGUCACUGUUUCGCUGCACCUCGCUCCUGCUACCUUCUGAUUUCGUCCUGAUUCUAACCUUUCAUUCUCGCCCCACGUUUUCAUUUGAAUCCCUUUUUCCAGCCCCUCUUUAUUUUUCUCCCUCUGCCUUUUGUGCCUCUCUCUCUCUCUCUCUCUCUCCCCCUCUGCCUCCUUUCGAGCGCAGCCUGUGUGAUAUGGAAAUGCGCAGACAGCUGCUCGCGAUCCCGGAGUUUCGCCUGCAGCCGUCGGCGUAAUUAACAGCGCCGCGAUCUGUGACUCAUCGCAAACUAGGUGAGAGCGGCGCUGUCAGCCAAUGGGCGCCCUCUAUCCGGUGGUCCUCUGUCUGACGUUGCUCAGUCAUUUACUGAUUCACCUCUCCACCUUUUGGGGGUCGCGUGCAUUGUUUCCUCUCCUUCCUCUCCCGUCCUCUCUCCAUCCUGAGAUCCUCCAUCCUUUUUGCUCCUCACCUUCCUUCUACUCUACAUUUCCGCCCUGCAGUAACUUCUCCGCUCUCCCCCGUGCCUACUCGUCUCUUAAAUGGGGAUAUCAAUUAACAUGGGGGAACUGGGAACCCAGGCCCUUAGAGAAUUAAAGCAUGGCGUCUCCGCAGCCACUGCUCAUCUGCUCCUUCUUUUCUUCCUCUCUCCUUCUCUUUGUUCGCUUGCGUCCUUGGAGAGGAAAUGAUUCAUUUUCUCCGAAAGCGCUCCCUGUGUUUUAGCAGUAAGGUUUAUGUUUUAUUUUUGCCUUUUUGGCAGCGGGCUGGCAGGCGGCAUUGUGUUUUAUACAACAUGGCAGAUGUAGAGGUUUGACUGAGGUAAUGGCUGAAAGAGCAUCACACGCGUUCAGGGGCAGCACCAGCUCUGGCGCUGAAGUGACAUGUGACCGUGAGCAUGCGAUGCAGGAGUCGGGAUGCGCUGUUCAUGAACACUGGUGCAUUCACACUGGUGCAUUCACACUGGUGCAUUCACACUGGUGCAUUCACACUGGUGCAUUCACACUGAUCUGCCACUAUUGCAUAAAUAAACCAAAUGGGAGACUGAACGGACGAAAACAACUUGUUCAUUUAGGGCGGAGGACUUGUUGAAUGGCUGACUUCCACAAAGUAGUUAGCGCACUGGGUAAAGGCACUCAGCGCCCUCCUGAUGUGGAAUUAGUUUGAAAAUGUGGAACAGGAUAAUGUGAAACACACUAACAGAAGAAAUCAGAAGGGGUUCAAAUACUUUUUAACGGCCCUGUGUUUCAGCAGGGGUUCGCAAGCGCAGCCUUUCAGACUCCUUUGCC
Long non-coding RNA from Betta splendens (Siamese fighting fish), 4895 nucleotides. RefSeq lists it as uncharacterized. The transcript is spliced from 6 exons. Lineage: Eukaryota; Metazoa; Chordata; Actinopteri; Anabantiformes; Osphronemidae. The record is from RefSeq and is a predicted model, not a curated record.